RNAcentral lists this ribosomal RNA (492 nucleotides) under uncultured bacterium. RNAcentral describes it as "partial 16S ribosomal RNA". It matches the Rfam family "Bacterial small subunit ribosomal RNA", at positions 29 to 507 of the family's 1533-position model. The record is from RNAcentral.
AGUGAACGCUGGCGGUAGGCCUAACACAUGCAAGUCGAACGGCAGCACAGUAAGAGCUUGCUCUUACGGGUGGCGAGUGGCGGACGGGUGAGGAAUACAUCGGAAUCUACUUUUUCGUGGGGGAUAACGUAGGGAAACUUACGCUAAUACCGCAUACGACCUACGGGUGAAAGCAGGGGAUCUUCGGACCUUGCGCGAUUGAAUGAGCCGAUGUCGGAUUAGCUAGUUGGCGGGGUAAAGGCCCACCAAGGCGACGAUCCGUAGCUGGUCUGAGAGGAUGAUCAGCCACACUGGAACUGAGACACGGCCCAGACUCCUACGGGAGGCAGCAGUGGGGAAUAUUGGACAAUGGGCGCAAGCCUGAUCCAGCCAUACCGCGUGGGUGAAGAAGGCCUUCGGGUUGUAAAGCCCUUUUGUUGGGAAAGAAGAGCAGCAGGUUAAUACCCCGCUGUUCUGACGGUACCCAAAGAAUAAGCACCGGCUAACUUCGUG